This 468-nucleotide ribosomal RNA is filed under the name uncultured bacterium. Its description in RNAcentral is "partial 16S ribosomal RNA". It matches the Rfam family "Bacterial small subunit ribosomal RNA", at positions 28 to 507 of the family's 1533-position model. The record is from RNAcentral.
GACGAACGCUGGCGGCGUGCUUAACACAUGCAAGUCGAACGGAAAGGCCCUGCUUUUGUGGGGUGCUCGAGUGGCGAACGGGUGAGUAACACGUGAGUAACCUGCCCUUGACUUUGGGAUAACUUCAGGAAACUGGGGCUAAUACCGGAUAGGAGCUCCUGCUGCAUGGUGGGGGUUGGAAAGUUUCGGCGGUUGGGGAUGGACUCGCGGCUUAUCGGCUUGUUGGUGGGGUAGUGGCUUACCAAGGCUUUGACGGGUAGCCGGCCUGGGAGGGUGACCGGCCACAAUGGGACUGAGAUACGGACCAGACUCCUAUGGGAGGCAGCAGUGGGGAAUAUUGCACAAUGGGCGGAAGCCUGAUGCAGCAACGCCGCGUGCGGGAUGACGGCCUUCGGGUUGUAAACCGCUUUCGCCUGUGACGAAGCGUGAGUGACGGUAAUGGGUAAAGAAGCACCGGCUAACUACGUG